AAGUCGUAACAAGGUUUCCGUAGGUGAACCUGCGGAAGGAUCAUUAACACGUAUCCAACGUAUACACCCCUGUGGUCCUGUGCGCGGCUCUAUAUGUGAGUGGUAGAAACUACUUUGUGACCUGCGUGGUUGCAAAAGAAAAUUUCGUGAAAAGGGCGUAUCGAUCUGCGUGAUUGAUAUGAAAAACCUAAUCAACCUGCGGGGUUGGUGGUUCCCUGAUCUCUGAAAUUAGUUAUACUAGCUUUCUGCGAGAAAGCAGCUCCGUAUAGCAGACGUUUUAACCAAACCAUUUACCAAAUUGACUAAUUUAGAAAUAAGUAUGAUUCGCUCUGCUUUAUUUCGACUUACGAAAUGAUAACAACUCUUAACAACGGAUAUCUUGGUUCCCGUAACGAUGAAGAAUGCAGC
RNAcentral lists this unclassified non-coding RNA (408 nucleotides) under fungal sp. RNAcentral's name for it is "partial internal transcribed spacer region". The stretch from base 1 to 46 matches the Rfam family "Eukaryotic small subunit ribosomal RNA", at positions 1786 to 1831 of the family's 1831-position model. The record is from RNAcentral. Lineage: Eukaryota; Fungi.